CACAGUGGAACUGUUCAUUCUGAAUGUGGAAUAAUACUCAAGUGUUUCUGUUGGACUGCACCAGAGACAAAGACGUUGAUAGAGACGUGAACAACCUUGUAAAGUGUUGUAGAUACUGACAGCAUGUGUUCCUGCUGUUUCCUCCUCUCUGUCCUGCAGUCAGGGCUGGUUUCCUGCUGCCUACGUGGCUCCUGUCGACGAUUUCUCCAACACUUUAUCAACAAGUGGUGGUUCUCUAAGGAGCCACAGUAUGAACAAUCUGCUGGACCCAACUGACACCUACACCGAUCAAUCAGAGAGCAACAGCUUUGGAGACGUCCCGCCCCCCGCCACCCCCAACCGCAGAGCCUCCGCCGAUUUCCGGUCGAGCUCUCCUCUCCCGGAGAAGAAGCUGGAGUCGGCCUUGGAGGCAAAGCCCCCCCCGCUGCCUCCCCCCCCGAGUCUCCGGAGGGGCUCUGCGGAUCUUCGGAUGUCAUCUCUCGCUGAGAGGACGGAGGAUUCAUCCUCUGAAGUCCAGAGCUUGUCGCCCCCCGGGCCGCCUGGUAACCCCCUGUUCCCCAGGUAACGUGUGUGAUCCAGCAGCAUGAAGGGCUUCAGGAGGGUUUGGAGUCCACGUCUCUGCCGUUUCAGAGGAUUAACACAGAUGUAAAGCAUCGUAGUUAAAGUGCAGCUGCGUGUUUAUGUUGGUGCACAAUAGUUCUGUCACUUUGUGAUUUAUUCAUUUGACUAUUUUCUGCACAUUUUGGUCUUUUCUCACUUCUGUAGCAACAGAACUUAUUUAUUUUGUAAAAAGAUUUUCUUGUAGCUUUGUAAUGUUUUCUAUCUUUGCAAACUAUUUAUCUCCCUCGAAGAAUAUAUUUUAAUGGCACUUAUAUAUUAAUAUAUGUAUAUUUCAAUCAAUUCAAUCACACCGAAUAUUUUCACUUCAUUUCCCCUGAGCUUCUGCGCUGCACAUAAAUGCAUCACAUUGUGCAGAACUGGUUAAGUUGCAUCUACAUUUAUUUAUAUAUUUUAAAAAAGCAACACAGAGACUCCAUCGA
RNAcentral lists this long non-coding RNA (1040 nucleotides) under Cottoperca gobio. RNAcentral describes it as "lncRNA (ENSCGOG00000015944.1)". The record is from RNAcentral. Lineage: Eukaryota; Metazoa; Chordata; Actinopteri; Perciformes; Bovichtidae.